AAUAUCCUUGUCUUUGGGGAGCAUAGUGUUCAAUGACCGUGUAGUGAGGGCACUGAUGCUGACACCAUAUACAAAUUUAUAAACCGCAUCCGUAAGGUCACUCCGGUGAUUUUAACGAGAUGCAAUUUUUGCACGC
This 136-nucleotide non-coding RNA is filed under the name Athalia rosae (coleseed sawfly). RNAcentral's name for it is "misc RNA ENSAEAG00005004854.1". It matches the Rfam family "U4atac minor spliceosomal RNA". Rfam says of the family: U4atac is an essential component of the minor U12-type spliceosome complex which is required for removal of the rarer class of eukaryotic introns (AT-AC, U12-type). These interacting stem loops have been shown to be required for in vivo splicing. Lineage: Eukaryota; Metazoa; Arthropoda; Insecta; Hymenoptera; Athaliidae. The record is from RNAcentral.